CGAGCAGUAUUUUACCCAAAAAAAAAAAAAGUAGAAUUUUCACAUAGUUCAACUGUGCUGUCAAAAGCUCAAAGCCAAUACUUUCUCUAGCCAUAACAGCAGUUUUCUUUCUUUUGUUUUGAACAGUGCAAAUAACACAGUUUAUAAUCUAGUGAUAUCAAAGUACCACAUUAGGAUAUGAUAAUGUCUUAAAGCUUUGGCAGUGAUUAUAUGCUGCCAUGACAUAACUAAUUCUUGGUACCAACAUCCUUAACGGCGUUAAUCUGCUCUUCGCCCAUCGCAGACAUAACAGACACCACAAGAUCCUUUCCUUCCUGGAACCCAUCUUUAACCUGCUUCAGCAGAUUUUCAUCGGUGGGAAG
This 362-nucleotide unclassified non-coding RNA is filed under the name Hevea brasiliensis (rubber tree). Lineage: Eukaryota; Viridiplantae; Streptophyta; Magnoliopsida; Malpighiales; Euphorbiaceae. The record is from RNAcentral.